Long non-coding RNA from Octopus sinensis (East Asian common octopus), 185 nucleotides. RefSeq lists it as uncharacterized. The record is from RefSeq and is a predicted model, not a curated record. The transcript is spliced from 3 exons. NCBI's taxonomy places the organism in Eukaryota, Metazoa, Mollusca, Cephalopoda, Octopoda, Octopodidae.
UCUGUGUGUCUUAACAGACAGGUCAUGCAUGAAGACAUUCGGUAUUCCCCAUACAAGAUGAAAAAGGGUAAAUUUUUAUCCCAAGCCAUCAAGGACAAGAGGAAAGACCGCACUACGAAGCUUUUGAACAAAGUCAAGCAUCCCUUUCAACUGAACAUGCUUUGGUUUUUCUGAGACGAGAAAAU